RNAcentral lists this transfer RNA (67 nucleotides) under Mediterraneibacter gnavus. Its description in RNAcentral is "[Ruminococcus] gnavus tRNA-Ala". It matches the Rfam family "tRNA". Rfam says of the family: Transfer RNA (tRNA) molecules are approximately 80 nucleotides in length. Their secondary structure includes four short double-helical elements and three loops (D, anti-codon, and T loops). Further hydrogen bonds mediate the characteristic L-shaped molecular structure. tRNAs have two regions of fundamental functional importance: the anti-codon, which is responsible for specific mRNA codon recognition, and the 3' end, to which the tRNAs corresponding amino acid is attached (by aminoacyl-tRNA synthetases). tRNAs cope with the degeneracy of the genetic code in two manners: having more than one tRNA (with a specific anti-codon) for a particular amino acid; and 'wobble' base-pairing, i.e. permitting non-standard base-pairing at the 3rd anti-codon position. Lineage: Bacteria; Bacillati; Bacillota; Clostridia; Lachnospirales; Lachnospiraceae. The record is from RNAcentral.
GGGGGAUUAGCUCAGUUGGGAGAGCGCCUGCCUUGCAAGCAGGAGGUCACGAGUUCGAAUCUCGUAU